This 56-nucleotide transfer RNA is filed under the name Caenorhabditis japonica. Its description in RNAcentral is "tRNA-Cys". The record is from RNAcentral. Lineage: Eukaryota; Metazoa; Nematoda; Chromadorea; Rhabditida; Rhabditidae.
GAAAUCAUAGUAUAAUUUAAGUAUGUUUAAUUGCAAAUUAAAAGGUUUUGAUUUUU